AUUUCUGGCUCCUUUGCAUUUAACCGAGAAAACGCUUCGUCUUUUACUAAAGAUUUCCGUGCAAAGGUGCACUUUAUGAGUGUCAAAUAAUUUUCGAAUCUUCUCGAAAGGGCGGGAU
RNAcentral lists this small nuclear RNA (118 nucleotides) under Oesophagostomum dentatum (nodular worm). RNAcentral's name for it is "U5 spliceosomal RNA". It matches the Rfam family "U5 spliceosomal RNA". Rfam says of the family: U5 RNA is a component of both types of known spliceosome. The precise function of this molecule is unknown, though it is known that the 5' loop is required for splice site selection and p220 binding, and that both the 3' stem-loop and the Sm site are important for Sm protein binding and cap methylation. Lineage: Eukaryota; Metazoa; Nematoda; Chromadorea; Rhabditida; Strongylidae. The record is from Rfam by way of RNAcentral.